This 568-nucleotide ribosomal RNA is filed under the name uncultured Phenylobacterium sp. Its description in RNAcentral is "bacterial SSU rRNA". It matches the Rfam family "Bacterial small subunit ribosomal RNA", at positions 329 to 915 of the family's 1533-position model. The record is from RNAcentral. Lineage: Bacteria; Pseudomonadati; Pseudomonadota; Alphaproteobacteria; Caulobacterales; Caulobacteraceae.
CAGGUCACUCCUACGGGAGGCAGCAGUAGGGAAUCUUGCGCAAUGGGCGAAAGCCUGACGCAGCCAUGCCGCGUGAAUGAUGAAGGUCUUAGGAUUGUAAAAUUCUUUCACCGGGGAAGAUAAUGACGGUACCCGGAGAAGAAGCCCCGGCUAACUUCGUGCCAGCAGCCGCGGUAAUACGAAGGGGGCUAGCGUUGCUCGGAAUUACUGGGCGUAAAGGGCGCGUAGGCGGACAGUUUAGUCAGAGGUGAAAGCCCAGGGCUCAACCUUGGAAUUGCCUUUGAUACUGGCUGUCUUGAGUUCGGGAGAGGUGAGUGGAAUGCCGAGUGUAGAGGUGAAAUUCGUAGAUAUUCGGCGGAACACCAGUGGCGAAGGCGACUCACUGGCCCGAUACUGACGCUGAGGCGCGAAAGCGUGGGGAGCAAACAGGAUUAGAUACCCUGGUAGUCCACGCUGUAAACGAUGAGUGCUAGUUGUCGGCAUGCAUGCAUGUCGGUGACGCAGCUAACGCAUUAAGCACUCCGCCUGGGGAGUACGGUCGCAAGAUUAAAACUUAAAGGAAUUGACG